RNAcentral lists this ribosomal RNA (252 nucleotides) under uncultured bacterium. RNAcentral describes it as "partial 16S ribosomal RNA". It matches the Rfam family "Bacterial small subunit ribosomal RNA", at positions 524 to 776 of the family's 1533-position model. The record is from RNAcentral.
UACGUAGGGGGCAAGCGUUGUCCGGAAUCAUUGGGCGUAAAGCGCGUGUAGGCGGCUCGGUAAGUCUGCUGUGAAAGUCCAGGCUCAACCCUGGGAUGCCGGUGGAUACUGUCGAGCUCGAGUCCGGAAGAGGCGAGUGGAAUUCCUGGUGUAGCGGUGAAAUGCGCAGAUAUCAGGAGGAACACCAAUGGCGAAGGCAGCUCGCUGGGACGUGACUGACGCUGAGACGCGAAAGCGUGGGGAGCAAACCGG